GGGCGAAUGGUUUAGUGGUAUAAUACUCCCUUAGCAUGUUCUCUUUCAAGAGAUGUACUUCUGGGAGUGGUCCAGGGUUCGAUUCCCUGUUCGUCCA
Non-coding RNA from Fusarium oxysporum f. sp. cubense, 97 nucleotides. The record is from Rfam. Lineage: Eukaryota; Fungi; Ascomycota; Sordariomycetes; Hypocreales; Nectriaceae.